UACGUAGGGUGCGAGCGUUGUCCGGAAUUACUGGGCGUAAAGAGCUCGUAGGUGGUUUGUCGCGUCGUCUGUGAAAUUCCGGGGCUUAACCUCGGGCGUGCAGGCGAUACGGGCAAUACUUGAGUGCUGUAGGGGAGACUGGAAUUCCUGGUGUAGCGGUGGAAUGCGCAGAUAUCAGGAAGAACACCGGUGGCGAAGGCGGCCUGCUGGACGAUUACUGACGUUGAGGCUCGAAGGCGUGGGGAGCAAACAGGAUUAGAUACCCGGGUAGUCCCU
This 276-nucleotide ribosomal RNA is filed under the name uncultured prokaryote. RNAcentral's name for it is "partial 16S ribosomal RNA". It matches the Rfam family "Bacterial small subunit ribosomal RNA", at positions 524 to 798 of the family's 1533-position model. The record is from RNAcentral.